RNAcentral lists this ribosomal RNA (511 nucleotides) under uncultured bacterium. RNAcentral's name for it is "bacterial SSU rRNA". It matches the Rfam family "Bacterial small subunit ribosomal RNA", at positions 34 to 518 of the family's 1533-position model. The record is from RNAcentral.
CGCUGGCGGCGUGCCUAAUACAUGCAAGUCGAACGGUCUUUCUAUGGAAGCUUGCUUCCACUGAGAAGAUAGUGGCGAACGGGUGAGUAACACGUGGGUAGCCUGCCCAUAAGAGGGGGAUAACAUCCGGAAACGGGUGCUAAUACCGCAUAGUUUUCUUGAUCGCAUGAUUGAGAAAGGAAAGACGGCCUUUGUGCUGUCGCUUAUGGAUGGACCCGCGGCGUAUUAGUUAGUUGGUGAGGUAACGGCUCACCAAGACGAUGAUACGUAGCCGACCUGAGAGGGUGAUCGGCCACAUUGGGACUGAGACACGGCCCAAACUCCUACGGGAGGCAGCAGUAGGGAAUCUUCCGCAAUGGACGAAAGUCUGACGGAGCAACGCCGCGUGAGUGAAGAAAGGUUUUCGGAUCGUAAAACUCUGUUGUCAGAGAAGAACAAGUUGGAGAGUAACUGCUCCAGCCUUGACGGUAUCUGACCAGAAAGCCACGGCUAACUACGUGCCAGCCGCGGC